This 253-nucleotide ribosomal RNA is filed under the name uncultured bacterium. RNAcentral's name for it is "partial 16S ribosomal RNA". It matches the Rfam family "Bacterial small subunit ribosomal RNA", at positions 524 to 776 of the family's 1533-position model. The record is from RNAcentral.
UACGAAGGGUGCAAGCGUUACUCGGAAUUACUGGGCGUAAAGCGUGCGUAGGUGGUUUGUUAAGUCUGAUGUGAAAGCCCUGGGCUCAACCUGGGAACUGCGUUGGAUACUGGCUUACUAGAGUGCGGUAGAGGGGUGUGGAAUUCCCGGUGUAGCAGUGAAAUGCGUAGAUAUCGGGAGGAACAUCUGUGGCGAAGGCGACACCCUGGACCAGCACUGACACUGAGGCACGAAAGCGUGGGGAGCAAACAGG